RNAcentral lists this ribosomal RNA (377 nucleotides) under uncultured Pseudobdellovibrionaceae bacterium. RNAcentral describes it as "bacterial SSU rRNA". It matches the Rfam family "Bacterial small subunit ribosomal RNA", at positions 523 to 898 of the family's 1533-position model. Lineage: Bacteria; Pseudomonadati; Bdellovibrionota; Bdellovibrionia; Bdellovibrionales; Pseudobdellovibrionaceae. The record is from RNAcentral.
AUACGGAGGGCGCAAGCGUUGCUCGGAAUCACUGGGCGUAAAGGGUGCGCAGGCGGUUUAUUAAGUCAAAUGUGAAAGCCCAGGGCUCAACCCUGGAACUGCAUCUGAAACUGGUAAACUUGAGUAUGAGAGAGGAAAGUGGAAUUCCUGGUGUAGAGGUGAAAUUCGUUGAUAUCAGGAGGAACAUCAGUGGCGAAGGCGACUUUCUGGCUCAUAACUGACGCUCAUGCACGAAAGUGUGGGUAGCAAACAGGAUUAGAUACCCUGGUAGUCCACACCGUAAACGAUGAAUGCUAGUUGCACGGCUCAUCUGCAUGCUGUGUGACGCAGCUAACGCAUUAAGCAUUCCGCCUGGGGAGUACGGUCGCAAGAUUAAA